AGUGAACGCUGGCGGUAGGCCUAACACAUGCAAGUCGAACGGCAGCACAGUAAGAGCUUGCUCUUACGGGUGGCGAGUGGCGGACGGGUGAGGAAUACAUCGGAAUCUACUUUUUCGUGGGGGAUAACGUAGGGAAACUUACGCUAAUACCGCAUACGACCUACGGGUGAAAGCAGGGGAUCUUCGGACCUUGCGCGAUUGAAUGAGCCGAUGUCGGAUUAGCUAGUUGGCGGGGUAAAGGCCCACCAAGGCGACGAUCCGUAGCUGGUCUUAGAGGAUGAUCAGCCACACGGGAACUGAGACACGGUCCAGACUCCUACGGGAGGCAGCAGUGGGGAAUAUUGGACAAUGGGCGCAAGCCUGAUCCAGCCAUACCGCGUGGGUGAAGAAGGCCUUCGGGUUGUAAAGCCCUUUUGUUGGGAAAGAAAAGCAGCAGGUUAAUACCCCGCUGUUCUGACGGUACCCAAAGAAUAAGCACCGGCUAACUUCGUG
Molecule: ribosomal RNA, 492 nt
Filed under: uncultured bacterium
Lineage: Bacteria
Description: partial 16S ribosomal RNA
Rfam family: Bacterial small subunit ribosomal RNA
Source: RNAcentral